CUGUUCGAGCGUCAUUACAACCACUCAAGCCUUGGCUUGGUCUUGGGGUUCGCGGUCUCGCGGCCCUUAAAAUUAGUGGCGGUGCGUCUGGCUCUAAGCGUAGUAAUUCCCUCGCUAUAGAGUCCCGGUGGUUACCUGCCACGAACCCCCCAUUUUUUACGGUUGACCUCGGAUCAGGUAGGGAUACCCGCUGAACUUAA
RNAcentral lists this unclassified non-coding RNA (200 nucleotides) under soil metagenome. RNAcentral describes it as "partial contains internal transcribed spacer 2 and large subunit ribosomal RNA". The record is from RNAcentral.